This 375-nucleotide transfer-messenger RNA is filed under the name Aromatoleum sp. It matches the Rfam family "transfer-messenger RNA". From Rfam's summary of the family: Bacterial tmRNA, also known as 10Sa RNA or SsrA, is named for its dual tRNA and mRNA-like properties. Its role is to liberate the mRNA from a stalled ribosome. To accomplish this part of the tmRNA is used as a reading frame that ends in a translation stop signal. RNAcentral also lists the same sequence under 1 other name. Lineage: Bacteria; Pseudomonadati; Pseudomonadota; Betaproteobacteria; Rhodocyclales; Rhodocyclaceae. The record is from RNAcentral.
GGGGGUGAACUGGUUUCGACGGGGGUAGUGAAGCAGCUUGGGGCAUGCCGAGGCGUCAAUCCUCGUAAAUCUUUGGCAAUCGCAAACUUAACUGCGAACGACGAAAACUACGCUCUGGCGGCUUAAUCCCGCCGGACCUUGCACCGGGCGGCGCUCAGCCCGGGUGAAGCUGGCAACAGUGUAGUCACGGCAAGGACAUUUCGAGCGAUCGCGUCCGCCCGGGUCACUUGGGCGAGGCGCUAAAUCUAGGUGACUGGUUUCGCCAUCGUCUGUCAGUCAACGAUGUCGGGGCGAGAGCACAAUGACUCGACUAAGCAUGUAGUCCUGACUGUGGAGCGCCUUCGGACGCGAGUUCGAUUCUCGCCACCUCCACCA